Molecule: ribosomal RNA, 2692 nt
Filed under: Escherichia coli
Lineage: Bacteria; Pseudomonadati; Pseudomonadota; Gammaproteobacteria; Enterobacterales; Enterobacteriaceae
Description: partial 23S ribosomal RNA
Rfam family: Bacterial large subunit ribosomal RNA
Source: RNAcentral
AGAUUCCCCCAGUAGCGGCGAGCGAACGGGGAGCAGCCCAGAGCCUGAAUCAGUGUGUGUGUUAGUGGAAGCGUCUGGAAAGGCGUGCGAUACAGGGUGACAGCCCCGUACACAAAAAUGCACAUGCUGUGAGCUCGAUGAGUAGGGCGGGACACGUGGUAUCCUGUCUGAAUAUGGGGGGACCAUCCUCCAAGGCUAAAUACUCCUGACUGACCGAUAGUGAACCAGUACCGUGAGGGAAAGGCGAAAAGAACCCCGGCGAGGGGAGUGAAAAAGAACCUGAAACCGUGUACGUACAAGCAGUGGGAGCACGCUUAGGCGUGUGACUGCGUACCUUUUGUAUAAUGGGUCAGCGACUUAUAUUCUGUAGCAAGGUUAACCGAAUAGGGGAGCCGAAGGGAAACCGAGUCUUAACUGGGCGUUAAGUUGCAGGGUAUAGACCCGAAACCCGGUGAUCUAGCCAUGGGCAGGUUGAAGGUUGGGUAACACUAACUGGAGGACCGAACCGACUAAUGUUGAAAAAUUAGCGGAUGACUUGUGGCUGGGGGUGAAAGGCCAAUCAAACCGGGAGAUAGCUGGUUCUCCCCGAAAGCUAUUUAGGUAGCGCCUCGUGAAUUCAUCUCCGGGGGUAGAGCACUGUUUCGGCAAGGGGGUCAUCCCGACUUACCAACCCGAUGCAAACUGCGAAUACCGGAGAAUGUUAUCACGGGAGACACACGGCGGGUGCUAACGUCCGUCGUGAAGAGGGAAACAACCCAGACCGCCAGCUAAGGUCCCAAAGUCAUGGUUAAGUGGGAAACGAUGUGGGAAGGCCCAGACAGCCAGGAUGUUGGCUUAGAAGCAGCCAUCAUUUAAAGAAAGCGUAAUAGCUCACUGGUCGAGUCGGCCUGCGCGGAAGAUGUAACGGGGCUAAACCAUGCACCGAAGCUGCGGCAGCGACGCUGAUGCGUUGUUGGGUAGGGGAGCGUUCUGUAAGCCUGCGAAGGUGUGCUGUGAGGCAUGCUGGAGGUAUCAGAAGUGCGAAUGCUGACAUAAGUAACGAUAAAGCGGGUGAAAAGCCCGCUCGCCGGAAGACCAAGGGUUCCUGUCCAACGUUAAUCGGGGCAGGGUGAGUCGACCCCUAAGGCGAGGCCGAAAGGCGUAGUCGAUGGGAAACAGGUUAAUAUUCCUGUACUUGGUGUUACUGCGAAGGGGGGACGGAGAAGGCUAUGUUGGCCGGGCGACGGUUGUCCCGGUUUAAGCGUGUAGGCUGGUUUUCCAGGCAAAUCCGGAAAAUCAAGGCUGAGGCGUGAUGACGAGGCACUACGGUGCUGAAGCAACAAAUGCCCUGCUUCCAGGAAAAGCCUCUAAGCAUCAGGUAACAUCAAAUCGUACCCCAAACCGACACAGGUGGUCAGGUAGAGAAUACCAAGGCGCUUGAGAGAACUCGGGUGAAGGAACUAGGCAAAAUGGUGCCGUAACUUCGGGAGAAGGCACGCUGAUAUGUAGGUGAAGCGACUUGCUCGUGGAGCUGAAAUCAGUCGAAGAUACCAGCUGGCUGCAACUGUUUAUUAAAAACACAGCACUGUGCAAACACGAAAGUGGACGUAUACGGUGUGACGCCUGCCCGGUGCCGGAAGGUUAAUUGAUGGGGUCAGCGCAAGCGAAGCUCUUGAUCGAAGCCCCGGUAAACGGCGGCCGUAACUAUAACGGUCCUAAGGUAGCGAAAUUCCUUGUCGGGUAAGUUCCGACCUGCACGAAUGGCGUAAUGAUGGCCAGGCUGUCUCCACCCGAGACUCAGUGAAAUUGAACUCGCUGUGAAGAUGCAGUGUACCCGCGGCAAGACGGAAAGACCCCGUGAACCUUUACUAUAGCUUGACACUGAACAUUGAGCCUUGAUGUGUAGGAUAGGUGGGAGGCUUUGAAGUGUGGACGCCAGUCUGCAUGGAGCCGACCUUGAAAUACCACCCUUUAAUGUUUGAUGUUCUAACGUGGACCCGUGAUCCGGGUUGCGGACAGUGUCUGGUGGGUAGUUUGACUGGGGCGGUCUCCUCCUAAAGAGUAACGGAGGAGCACGAAGGUUGGCUAAUCCUGGUCGGACAUCAGGAGGUUAGUGCAAUGGCAUAAGCCAGCUUGACUGCGAGCGUGACGGCGCGAGCAGGUGCGAAAGCAGGUCAUAGUGAUCCGGUGGUUCUGAAUGGAAGGGCCAUCGCUCAACGGAUAAAAGGUACUCCGGGGAUAACAGGCUGAUACCGCCCAAGAGUUCAUAUCGACGGCGGUGUUUGGCACCUCGAUGUCGGCUCAUCACAUCCUGGGGCUGAAGUAGGUCCCAAGGGUAUGGCUGUUCGCCAUUUAAAGUGGUACGCGAGCUGGGUUUAGAACGUCGUGAGACAGUUCGGUCCCUAUCUGCCGUGGGCGCUGGAGAACUGAGGGGGGCUGCUCCUAGUACGAGAGGACCGGAGUGGACGCAUCACUGGUGUUCGGGUUGUCAUGCCAAUGGCACUGCCCGGUAGCUAAAUGCGGAAGAGAUAAGUGCUGAAAGCAUCUAAGCACGAAACUUGCCCCGAGAUGAGUUCUCCCUGACUCCUUGAGAGUCCUGAAGGAACGUUGAAGACGACGACGUUGAUAGGCCGGGUGUGUAAGCGCAGCGAUGCGUUGAGCUAACCGGUACUAAUGAACCGUGAGGCUUAACCUUACAACGCCGAAGGUGUUU